This 426-nucleotide transfer RNA is filed under the name uncultured Gammaproteobacteria bacterium. RNAcentral's name for it is "16S-23S ribosomal RNA intergenic spacer". The stretch from base 81 to 154 matches the Rfam family "tRNA". The record is from RNAcentral. Lineage: Bacteria; Pseudomonadati; Pseudomonadota; Gammaproteobacteria.
AACGACGAGUCGAGCCGGCGCCUCGGAGCGCCCACACAAGUUAUCUCAGCGCGGGUCUGCGGGCCCGAGACACACCUCUUGGGUCUGUAGCUCAGUCGGUUAGAGCGCACCCCUGAUAAGGGUGAGGUCGCUGGUUCAACUCCAGCCAGACCCACCAAUGACGGGGCCAUAGCUCAGCUGGGAGAGCGCCUGCCUUGCACGCAGGAGGUCGGGAGUUCGAUCCUCCCUGGCUCCACCAUUCAGGCGGCCCGAGACACGCGGGGCCAAGCGCUCACGACUUGCAGGUGCGAGUCGUGAGCGCUUUGCCUCUGGGUGAAGCAGCUCUUUAACAACACGGUGAGAUCGCGGAAGGCGCCAGCUCGGCGCGAGCCGAGCGGGAUGCGUACGAUGUCAGCACAUUGAACCCCAAAGUCCUUGGGGUUAUAU